RNAcentral lists this transfer RNA (88 nucleotides) under Kiritimatiellia bacterium. Its description in RNAcentral is "Kiritimatiellae bacterium (gut metagenome) tRNA-Ser". It matches the Rfam family "tRNA". Rfam says of the family: Transfer RNA (tRNA) molecules are approximately 80 nucleotides in length. Their secondary structure includes four short double-helical elements and three loops (D, anti-codon, and T loops). Lineage: Bacteria; Pseudomonadati; Kiritimatiellota; Kiritimatiellia. The record is from RNAcentral.
GGAGAGGUGGCUGAGUGGUCGAUAGCGGCGGUCUUGAAAACCGUUGACCCGAAAGGGUCCGGGGGUUCGAAUCCCUCCCUCUCCGCCA